CCCCCGGGUACACAGCCGUAUAUUCUUCGCUGUGGCUCCCUCCAGCCGUGGCAUGCGGGACGCCGCCUCAGCGUGGUCCGAUGAGCAGUGCCAUGUCCGCGCCCAGGAUUCGAACCAACGAAACACUGGGCCGCCUGCAGCGGAGCGUGCGAACCCAACCACUCGGCCACGGGGCCAGCCCCUGGGGGAAGUGGUUUUUAGUUUGAGUUGGAAAAGCAUCCUGAUGAAUCCAAUAACUUUGGCUGGUGUUGCUUCUAAGCUGCCUGGACCAGAAAGAAGCAGCCGCUUUCCACUGAGAGCCAGAAGCCAAAAUCCGAACUGUUGUCGUGAGGUCACAAGGGUGAUCUCAUAUACGGUGCCAUCUAUUCCAUCUCAGGCCAUUCCUGUGCAGCUGCUUCGAGCUAAAACUCCUCCACGCUCCACUUCUGAUUUUCCAGGGUUUCCCUGUCUGUCAGUUUCAGCCUGCCCCCUCCUGUUAUUUUUAGAUUUGAUUUUAGUCCUUAUAAAGGGCCAGGGGUGAGGAUAGGGAGAAAAUUUUCUUCAUUUUAAUUAAAAGCAGAU
Molecule: long non-coding RNA, 561 nt
Filed under: Equus asinus (donkey)
Lineage: Eukaryota; Metazoa; Chordata; Mammalia; Perissodactyla; Equidae
Description: lncRNA (ENSEASG00005024507.1)
Source: RNAcentral